RNAcentral lists this ribosomal RNA (301 nucleotides) under uncultured bacterium. RNAcentral's name for it is "partial 16S ribosomal RNA". It matches the Rfam family "Bacterial small subunit ribosomal RNA", at positions 509 to 807 of the family's 1533-position model. The record is from RNAcentral.
CAGCAGCCACGGUAAUACAGAGGGUGCGAGCGUUAAUCGGAUUUACUGGGCGUAAAGCGUGCGUAGGCGGCUAAUUGAGUCGGAUGUGAAAUCCCCGAGCUUAACUUGGGAAUUGCAUUCGAUACUGGUUAGCUAGAGUGUGGGAGAGGAUGGUAGAAUUCCAGGUGUAGCGGUGAAAUGCGUAGAGAUCUGGAGGAAUACCGAUGGCGAAGGCAGCCAUCUGGCCUAACACUGACGCUGAGGUACGAAAGCAUGGGGAGCAAACAGGAUUAGAUACCCGCGUAGUCCCUGUCUCUUAUAC